Molecule: non-coding RNA, 106 nt
Organism: Leptonychotes weddellii (Weddell seal)
Lineage: Eukaryota; Metazoa; Chordata; Mammalia; Carnivora; Phocidae
Source: RefSeq, a predicted model, not a curated record
CGGGCUCAGCGCGGCGUGGGGCGGAAUAAGCACUCCGCUUAAGCCCGGAGACUGCAGAAAUUACGUUCCUGACCUUGGUCCAUCGUUUGAAAAUUACUGCUCUAGG